RNAcentral lists this long non-coding RNA (2117 nucleotides) under Ooceraea biroi (clonal raider ant). Its description in RNAcentral is "uncharacterized LOC105279115". Lineage: Eukaryota; Metazoa; Arthropoda; Insecta; Hymenoptera; Formicidae. The record is from RNAcentral.
UUACUGUUAUAAUUGCAUGUCCAAAUAUUAAAAACUUAUUGUAUAUAUAUAAUAUGUAUAUUAUCUUGAAAUUAGUCCAAGUCAAGUCGACGAUUGAUUCUAUUGUGUUUUGAUUAUUUAUACUAAUAAUAAAUUAUAGAAAGCUGAGAAUUUUAUAGAUAUCCAUAUUAUGAUUCAACUUUCUACGUUACAUCAGCGUUACAUCAGCGUUACGUCGUAGCGCACGUGUGCGACGUAAGAUGAAAGAACGAUUAAUAGAGAUCGAUAGAGUUCUCCUACGCUAUUAUUGAACUUUUUGAUGAUUUCCGAAUAUUAGUGAAAGUUUUCAUCUGUCGCGUCAACGUUUGAUUACCACACAAAUAAAUAAGAAAAGAAUAAGAGAGAAAGAGGGAAAGAGAGUGGGGGAUGGAAUGAAAGAGAGAAGGAGCGAGAAGGAGCGACCGGUAGAGAAAGGAUUACAUCGUAACAUGACAAGGAUAGAAAUUUCACCAGAAACCGGCGCGUAUAACCGUGCAACCUCAGGUUUCCCCGGUGGAUGGUUCACUGUCACUUUCGAGUCGGCAGUCCGAUACGAGGAUACAACCGCGUCAGUUCCAUAGUGCGAGUGGUCCACGAAGUGUGCCAGUGGCACACCAAGCGAGUUAUUGCUUUACGAUCCAUCCGCAAACCAAAUUCGUAUCCUCGUCGACGUAUCAGAGGCGUGAAUAAAAUUAUGACUUUCCAAAGUAUCAAAAUUAGGACACGGAAUGGUUCAGACUGAAUAUUACCGAAUUAACGAUUAACGAAUAGAAUAUGUGCUUAAAUAACGAAUCAUGAAGCGAAGGGAAGAAAAUUGAAGGAAGAAGAAAUACAUUCCGAACUAACCUGAUCUGUGAUAACUGAUCUGUGAAAAAUAAUAAAAGAAGAAAUAGUCGAAAUCUCAGAGAAUCAGCAGAAUAUCAUCAUAAAUUAAUGUAUAUAUAUACAUAUUUCCAGUAUAUAUAUGUAUGUACAUACACACUGGAAGAAGAAGAGAAGCACAAUCGAAGAGAAAGAAGAAUGAAGUCAUGGAAGUUCACGCGAUGAAGAUAAUCCGAUUGCUCGAAGAAUAUGUAAGCAUUCGAGAAGUGUGAAAAACGGCCAUCUAAACAAUCUGGUGUUAUCUGAACAAGUUAUGGCGCAUAGUAUAACAAAGAGAAAAGAAAGAGACAGUAAGAAAAAUUGAUCGAAUCGAAUGUGAAUUUACAGUAUGUUUGCGACAAUAAAAAUAGGAUUUAUUGAAAAAAAUAAUAAAAAAAGAAGAGCUUAAGAAGUCUAACAAAAUCACCUAACGAAAUUUUCAAAAAAGAACGAAUAGACUAUUAAAAAGGAUUAUAACUAUUUGAUAUUAAUAAUUAUAAUGGGGAUUAAUGAGGAAAACAACAUCUACAAGAUUCAAUAGUGAACUACAGUAAGAUAAAAACGAAAAAAGAAAGAAAGAAAUAGAAAGCAAUUCUGAAAAACAUUACCUAAGGAAAUUCACAAAUAAAUUGCCUUAAUAAAUUGUGUGAAUGCAUUUAAUGUCAUGAACCAAUUUGAGAGAUAAUUGGAUAAAUCGAGAAAGAAAUUUAAAAAAAGAAAGAACUAAGUUCUCUAUGAAUAAGGCUUGAAAAGAUUUUCGCCUACCUCAAGAUUUAUUUCACUACGUCAUUUUUAUCAGCUACAUAUUUAUCGCGAAUCUCUUGUGUCAAACAAAAUGCGGAUUGAAAUAUAGAUAUUGAGGACAGGUUAAAUCGUGAUGCAAAAGGUCAACAUACCGAACGAACGACUUAAGGAAGCCGCCGAAGAAGCCACUGGCGGCAGCAAAAAGUCACGGCCAGAUAUGGAGUCUUCGAAACAUCACGUCCGACAUUACAAAUAAAAAGUUUAUCUCGUAAGAUAUAAAACUUCAUGUAUUAAAUUGUAAUUUGUGAGGUACAAAGGUGCUAUAUGUUUAAAGUUUAAAAGUUUUGUAUGUAAAUACUUUUUUUUAGUUUUACGGAACGAAAUCUUGCGGAAGAAUAAUUCUUGUAGUGGUAUUACGACGUUGAUUACAUCCAAUGCUAACCAAGAUCGUUACAAAAUAAAACCAAAAGAAAAUCUUGAACCGAUAUUAUGAU